Molecule: long non-coding RNA, 252 nt
Organism: Sinocyclocheilus rhinocerous
Lineage: Eukaryota; Metazoa; Chordata; Actinopteri; Cypriniformes; Cyprinidae
Exons: 3
Source: RefSeq, a predicted model, not a curated record
GUAAUCGUGUCUUCCUUCACGUUGUUUUUAGCACUGCUGCUGAGGGUGAUUUAAAUGUUAUUGUUAGCAGGCUGAUUUUCAGCAAACAGACAGAUGAAAGUGCAUUGAGACACGCUUCAAAUACGUGACAAGGAAGCACGUUCACAAGUGAGCAACGAACAAAUCUGAACAGGCGGAACUAUGAACGAUGCGGAUUCAUCCUCAAGGAAGCAUGCGAGUUCCCGAGAGCUACAGACUCCCAAGAAUGAGGAU